Molecule: long non-coding RNA, 326 nt
Filed under: Coffea arabica (coffee)
Lineage: Eukaryota; Viridiplantae; Streptophyta; Magnoliopsida; Gentianales; Rubiaceae
Description: long non-coding RNA (CARA_LNC001893)
Source: RNAcentral
GUUGGUUGAGACCUUGAAUAGAUGUAUGUUGUUGGUUAUCACUUGUGGUUGGAUUGGAGGUUUGUUGGCUUGUGAAUCCAAGUUGUACUUGGAUGGGAAAAGUAAGAAAUAGGGGAAAUGUUGCCCAAAUUUCUAUUACUUGUUCCUAUGAAUAUUAGUGAGAUACAAGGUUUGAUUUUGCGUUAGUUGGAUCUUAAGUUACAUAUGUAUCAAUGAAUGCACUUCAAUAGUAGUAUAUGAGUUAUUUUUGACCAAGAUUUGGUAUCAAUUAAAAUGAAAAGUGUUAGUUUUAUCUCGAAAACUUUGAAUUAUAUUUGCUCACUUCA